RNAcentral lists this ribosomal RNA (191 nucleotides) under uncultured Acidobacteriaceae bacterium. RNAcentral describes it as "partial 16S ribosomal RNA". It matches the Rfam family "Bacterial small subunit ribosomal RNA", at positions 338 to 524 of the family's 1533-position model. Lineage: Bacteria; Pseudomonadati; Acidobacteriota; Terriglobia; Terriglobales; Acidobacteriaceae. The record is from RNAcentral.
CCUACGGGAGGCAGCAGUCGGGAAUUUUGGGCAAUGGGCGAAAGCCUGACCCAGCAACGCCGCGUGAAGGAUGAAAUCCCUCGGGAUGUAAACUUCGCAAGAACAGGAAGAAUAAGUAGGGGACAAUACCCCCUAUGAUGACGGUACUGUUUGUAAGCUCCGGCUAACUCCGUGCCAGCAGCCGCGGUAAU